Candidatus Regiella insecticola 5.15 is the source of this 3217-nucleotide ribosomal RNA. It matches the Rfam family "Eukaryotic large subunit ribosomal RNA", at positions 1 to 2597 of the family's 3401-position model. Lineage: Bacteria; Pseudomonadati; Pseudomonadota; Gammaproteobacteria; Enterobacterales; Enterobacteriaceae. The record is from Rfam.
CGACCUCAGAUCAGGCGGGACUACCCGCCGGAUUUAAGCAUAUUAAUAAGCGGAGGAAAAGAAAACAACCGUGAUUCCCCCAGUAGCGGCGAGCGAACAGGGAAAAGCCCAUCGCCGAAUCCCGCCGCGCACUUUUGUGUCGCGGCACGUAUGGGAGUUGUGGCGUACGGGCCGGCCUCGUUGCCGGGGCGCACGUGACGGUCCAAGUCUCCCUUGAACGGGGCCAUGGCCCGCAGAUGGUGCCAGGCCAGUAGAGGCCGUCACAGCGUUCCGGGAUCGGACCGCGCCUUCGAGUCGGGUUGCUUGAGAGUGCAGCCCGAAGCGGGUGGUAAACUCCAUCUAAGGCUAAAUACGGCCACGAGACCGAUAGUGGACAAGUACCGUGAGGGAAAGUUGAAAAGAACUUUGAAGAGAGAGUUCAUAAGAACGUGAAACCGUUCGGGUGUAAACGGACAGAGCCCGCGAGUCCCCGCCGGGCGAAUUCACGGUCGGUCUAACCGCCGGCCGGAUCUUUCGCUCGGUUAGCGGACGUCGCGACUCGUUGGGCGCCGGCCGAAGGGCCCGGGUGGCGGUUCGUCGCGGCGGUCGCGUUUCGGCGUGACCGAUCGCGCCGAACCCCGGUGCUCCUGGUCGGCUCGCCCGACGGCAAGAACCGUCGACGCGGCCCCGUCGCAGGCGGGGUCCCGUCGGUCGGCGACGAGUUUCGGGCUACUUUCCGACCCGUCUUGAAACACGGACCAAGGAGUCUAACGUGUGCGCGAGUCAACGGUGAUCCUACGAAAAACCACGUUUGGCGCAAUGAAAGUGAACCGUUUACGGUGCGGACGAUGGCCUAGCGACCGAACCCACCGGCGUUCAAAGUCGCGCUGGUCCGCAGUCCGGGGGCGUCUCCGCCAGGUCGGCUUCGGCCGUCCGGGGGCGCACCCUUAGCGCACACGUUGGUACCCGAAAGAUGGUGAACUAUGCCUGGCCAGGAUGAAGUCAGGGGAAACCCUGAUGGAGGUCCGCAGCGAUUCUGACGUGCAAAUCGAUCGUCUGAGCUGGGUAUAGGGGCGAAAGACUAAUCGAACCAUCUAGUAGCUGGUUCCAUCCGAAGUUUCCCUCAGGAUAGCUGGCGCCGAUGUGUCCCGCCCGUUCGCGGGCGUACGGACGCCGGUGGGACUCCGCGCUGUACGGCGCGGUAACAACACGCUCGUAACACGGAGGAUGUCUCAUACGGUAAAGCGAAUGAUUAGAGGACAUUGGGGCCGAAACGACCUCAACCUAUUCUCAAACUAUAAAUGGGUGAGAUCGCCGGCUUUACCUGGUACACCGCGUGAACCGCGUGCGAAGCCGGCGACGGAACCCUAGGCGCUUAGUGGGCCAUUUUUGGUAAGCAGAACUGGCGCUGCGGGAUGAACCGAACGCCGAGUUAAGGCGCCGAAAUCGACGCGUAUUCAGAGACCAUGAAAGGCGUUGGUUGCUGAUGACAGCAGGACGGUGGCCAUGGAAGUCGGAAUCCGCUAAGGAGUGUGUAACAACUCACCUGCCGAAGCAACUAGCUCUGAAAAUGGAUGGCGCUGGAGCGUCGUGCCUAUACUCGGCCGUCGGCGGCAUAGUGGGGCCGGCCGUCGCUCGCGGCGGUCGGUCCCGGCAAGCCCCGACGAGUAGGAUGGCGCGGCGGUGUGCGUCGAAGGGCAGGUCGCGAGACCGCCUGGAGCCGCCGUCGGUGCAGAUCUUGGUGGUAGUAGCAAAUACUCGAGAGGGGCCCUCGGGGGCUGCCGUGGAGAAGGGUUUCUUGUGAACAGCCGUUGUCCAAGAGUCAGUCGAUCCUAAGCCCGGGGAGAGAUCCUCGUACCACGGGCGAAGGCGUUUUCGAAUCGCCCAUGGGGCGAGAGGGAAUCCGGUCCGUAUUCCGGAACCCGACGCGGAACCGCUCCCUAGUGUUCGGGGCUCUUUUGUCUCGUCCGGGCGACCGGAAUGAACUCGAAGAAGCCGCCGGGGGGUCCGGGAAGAGUUCUCUUUUCUCUGUGAGCGUUGUACGUCCCUGGAAUCCUCUAGCCGGGCGAUAGGGACGCGAGCGCGAAGAGCACCGCUCGUUGCGGCGGUGUCCGUGACCCCCACGCGGACCUUGAAAAUUCGAGAGAGGGCCACGCGGAGUCUUCGCGUCGGUUCGUACCGAUAUCCGCAGCAGGUCUCCGAGGUGAGCAGCCUCUAGCCGCAUAGAAUAAUGUAGGUAAGGGAAGUCGGCAAAACCGAUCCGUAACUUCGGGAUAAGGAUUGGCUCUGAGGAGCGUGGCGGAUCGGGUUCGGGUCGUCGUAGAAGCGUAGGCGGUGCUGGCGACACCCCGGCCGUCGCCCGUGCGCCCGGUCUUAGGACCGGGAGCCUCGAGGCGGUCGCGGGCUCGUCGCCGUCCGCCGACCGUGGAACCACCGAGCUUCGGUCGCUGGCCGCGGCGCGGCCGGCCGUCCGCCCCGGUGUCGGUUCGCCGUCGCCGGGCGGUCCGGCCGCCGCGUCGUCGGCCGCGUAGCCGGAUCGACCGCCAUGUAACGGUCAACUCAGAACUGGCACGGACCAGGGGAAUCCGACUGUCUAAUUAAAACAAAGCAUCGCGAUGGCCCGGGACGGGUGUUGACGCGAUGUGAUUUCUGCCCAGUGCUCUGAAUGUCAACGUGAAGAAAUUCAAGCAAGCGCGGGUAAACGGCAGGAGUAACUAUGACUCUUUUAAGGUAGCCAAAUGCCUCGUCAUCUAAUUAGUGACGCGCAUGAAUGGAUUAACGAGAUUCUCACUGUCCCUAUCUACUAUCUAGCGAAACCACAGCCAAGGGAACGGGCUUGGAAAAAUCAGCGGGGAAAGAAGACCCUGUUGAGCUUGACUCUAAUCUGGCAUUGUUCGGAGACAUGCCGAGGUGUAGCAUAAGUGGGAGUCGGGGGUCCAGGCGGGCGGUUUCGGCCGUCCGUCUCCCCGUCGACCUUGAAAUACCACUACUCGCAUCGUUUCCCCACUUACUCGGUAGAGCGGAACGCGCGGUUCCGGCCGCGGGUGCGUCCGGCCGUCGGCCGUCGUCCCGUCGCGUCGUCGGCUCGCCGUCGGUUCGUCCGGCGUGCGACCGGCGCGCGGCGCGGUCGCCGUGCCGUCGGCCUGUGCCCGUUCGUGCCGGGCCGCGGUUGAUAUUCCGGUAGCGUUAAGCACCAGCCGAGGGCUCCGGGCGUCAAACCGCGGACCGCGUCCGUGCG